AGAGUUUGAUCAUGGCUCAGGAUGAACGCUGGCGGUCUGCUUAACACAUGCAAGUCGAACGGAGUAGAAAUACUUAGUGGCGGACGGGUGAGUAACGCGUGAGAAUCUGCCUUAAGGAUUGGGACAACAGUGGGAAACCGCUGCUAAUACCAAAUAUGCCUUUUAGUGAAACGGGUAAAACCGCCUUAAGAUGAGCUCGCGUCCGAUUAGCUAGUUGGGGGGGUAAAGGCCCACCAAGGCGACGAUCGGUAGCUGGUCUGAGAGGACGAUCAGCCACACUGGGACUGAGACACGGCCCAGACUCCUACGGGAGGCAGCAGUGGGGAAUUUUCCGCAAUGGGCGAAAGCCUGACGGAGCAAGACCGCGUGGGGGAAGAAGGCUCUUGGGUUGUAAACCCCUUUUCUCUGGGAAGAAAGUUGUGAAAGCAACCUGACGGUACCAGAGGAAUCAGCAUCGGCUAACUCCGUGCCAGCAGCCGCGGUAAUACGGAGGAUGCAAGCGUUAUCCGGAAUUAUUGGGCGUAAAGCGUCCGCAGGUGGCUGAUCAAGUCUGCGGUCAAAGACCGGGGCUUAACCCUGGAAAGGCCGUGGAAACUGAUCAAGCUAGAGUACCGUAGGGGUAGAGGGAAUUCCCGGUGUAGCGGUGAAAUGCGUAGAGAUCGGGAAGAACAUCGGUGGCGAAAGCGCUCUACUGGACGGUGACUGACACUCAGGGACGAAAGCUAGGGGAGCGAAUGGGAUUAGAUACCCCCGUAGUCC
Molecule: ribosomal RNA, 759 nt
Filed under: uncultured cyanobacterium
Lineage: Bacteria; Bacillati; Cyanobacteriota
Description: bacterial SSU rRNA
Rfam family: Bacterial small subunit ribosomal RNA
Source: RNAcentral